RNAcentral lists this ribosomal RNA (253 nucleotides) under uncultured bacterium. RNAcentral's name for it is "partial 16S ribosomal RNA". It matches the Rfam family "Bacterial small subunit ribosomal RNA", at positions 524 to 776 of the family's 1533-position model. The record is from RNAcentral.
UACGGAAGGUCCGGGCGUUAUCCGGAUUUAUUGGGUUAAAAGGGAGCGUAGGCCGGAGAUUAAGCGUGUUGUGAAAUGUAGACGCUCAACGUCUGCACUGCAGCGCGAACUGGUUUCCUUGAGUACGCACAAAGUGGGCGGAAUUCGUGGUGUAGCGGUGAAAUGCUUAGAUAUCACGAAGAACUCCGAUUGCGAAAGCGGCUCUCUGGUCUGUAACUGACGCUGAAGCUCGAAAGUGCGGGUAUCGAACAGG